Long non-coding RNA from Siniperca chuatsi (mandarin fish), 2482 nucleotides. RefSeq lists it as uncharacterized. The transcript has 2 exons. Lineage: Eukaryota; Metazoa; Chordata; Actinopteri; Centrarchiformes; Sinipercidae. The record is from RefSeq and is a predicted model, not a curated record.
CUUAGGAAGAGUUCAGAAAUCAAUAUUUGGUGGAAUAACCCUGAUUUUGAAUCACAGCUUUCAUGCGUCUUGGCAUGCUCUCCACCAGUCUUUCACAUUGAUGUUGGGUGACUUUAUGCCACUCCUGGUGCAAAAAUUCACGCAGCUCAGAUUUGUUUGAUGGCUUGUGACCAUCCAUCUUCCUCUUGAUCACAUUCCAGAGGUUUUCAAUGGGGUUCAGGUCUGGAGAUUGGGCUGGCCAUGACAGGGUCUUGAUCUGGUGGUCCUCCAUCCACACCUUGAUUGACCUGGCUGUGUGGCAUGGAGCAUUGUCCUGCUGGAAAAAACAGCCCUCAGAGUUGGGGAACAUUGUCAGAGCAGAAGGAAGCAAGUUUUCUUCCAGGACAACCUUGUACGUGGUUUGAUUCAUGCGUCCUUCACAAAGACAAAUCUGCCCAAUUCCAGCCUUGCUGAAGCACCCCCAGAUCAUCACCGAUCCUCCACCAAAUUCACAGUGGGUGCCAGACACUGUGGCUUGUAGGCCUCUCCAGGCCUCCGUCUAACCAUUAGACGACCGGGUGUUGGACAAAGCUGAAAAUUGGACUCAUCAGAGAAGAUGACCUUACUCCAGUCCUCUACAGUCCAAUCCUUAUGGUCUCUUGCAAACCUCAGCCUAGCUCUUCUUUGCUUCUCAUUGAUGAAGGGCUUUUUUCUAGCAUUGCACGACUUCAGCCCUGCCCCUAGGAGCCUGUUUCAAACCGUCCUCGCCGUGCACUUCACCCCAGCUGCCUUUUGCCAUUUUUUUGUAGGUCACUUGAUGUCAUCCUACGGUUGUUGAGGGACAUUUGAAUGAGUUGGCUGUCAUUCCGGUCAGUGGAGAGUCGUUUUCGCCCUGUAGCUUUGUUGUCCCCAAUGUCUGCUGCUUGACCUUGUUCUUAUGAACCGCCGUCUUUGAAAUUUUAAGGAUGGAAGCAACCCGACGCUCACUGUAUCCCUCUGCCAGUAAAGCCAGAAUUGAACCCUUCUUUUCCUCACUCAAAACUUUCCUUUUUAACUUUUUUGGCAUGGUCAAUAGUUAUUUUUUGAUUCCAAUUACUUUUGAGGUACUACUAGCACUGUUUUUGCCAUCCAGCUGGCCCCACUGCAAGAGGAUAGUGAUGACCACAGAAGUGUUUUUUUAUACUUUUCCUUAUUAAAUAAGAUUUGGUUCAGGUGAUCACCUAAUCAGCACCUCAUUCAGUAGAAUGAGGUGUGCCUGUGUUGGAAUUCAACAGACAUUGGAAUGGAAUGGCUUCCAUACUUGUAGAGAUGCUGAUUUAAGAAAAAAUUGCAGUGGUCUCUUAAUUUUUUCCAGAGCUGUAUGUGCAUCUGCUUGUGUUGUUAUUGUUACCAUAGAGCAUCCAGCUUGUGGCGCUCUUCACCAAAGUCUGUUAAAUAGACCAUUGAGCACGUGCUGCCUUCAGGGCGGUAGAAUAUUUCAAUUCCUUGUCUUCCUUCCCUGUCUGUUGCUGAAAAUCUCCAAGAUAGUCUGAAUUUUCUAUCCACGUGUUCCAAUCAAUCAACAUAUUUUGACAACUGGUCAGAUUUUUAUUUUAUUUUUUUAAAUUAAGACAUGUUAUUUGCACAUAAAGCUGAUUUGAUGAAAUAAGCCUUUCCCCCUUUUUUCAAAACUCUUAAGUCUGCAUCAGAUUUCUGAAUUAUUUUGAUGAGUCUGAACUGUGUUUUGUGUGAUACAUUACAGCCUUAAAUACAAUAGGUAAGUGUUUUUAAGUUCUGCAUCAGCGCAGGCCAGGGUGAAAUGACCUGAGCAAAGAGAAGAUCCUCAGCACAGACAGGUUGAGUAUCCACGCUGUUAUUCAGUUGUCUAUCAAAAGCACCUUAAUAUGCACCAAAAUCACAUUUAGCUACAAUAAGCAAACUGUGGAGUGGGAGUGUCCGAGGCGCUCCUGAAGGCAACAGUAGACACGCCACCACGCCUCUCUCGGGCUCAGAGACAUCCAUGGCUCAGAGACACACAACAAAAGACACCAAACCCGGCUUUUCUUCUGCACAGCUUUGACAGAGACGGUGAAUGUUGACUCCGGUUACAGCUGCCCCGGAAAUAUUUUAAGUCUUAAUUCAAGACACCUCUGUGCCGUGUAUUUGUCUGCGGCUGACAGCACGUGUUCCUGCUUCUUGUCCAGCUCCAACUGACCACAGAACAGCACCACCAAUCAACCAAUCAGCAUAUUGUUGCUGGUCAAAUAGUUCAACAGGCUUUAUAACACUACAAGAAAGCAGGACCAAAACUGUCAUCCUUAUUGUUGAUCUGCCCCACAGUUAUUGAGAUUAUUUGACCAUCCUUGGAUACACCAACCACUUCAAUUACUCUCAGUUUUUUUCCUCCACAAUGGAUUAAAUAAGCAAGAUGGGAGACAGAUUGGAUCAUUGUUCAUCAGGGAAAUUAUGCAUUCUGUAAUGUGCCCAAUGAGGGGAUGAAUCCAUUAAAAUGAACAAAGAUAAA